This 496-nucleotide ribosomal RNA is filed under the name uncultured bacterium. RNAcentral's name for it is "partial 16S ribosomal RNA". It matches the Rfam family "Bacterial small subunit ribosomal RNA", at positions 30 to 523 of the family's 1533-position model. The record is from RNAcentral.
AUUGAACGCUGGCGGAAUGCUUUACACAUGCAAGUCGAACGGUAGAGGGGGCAACCCCUCGAGAGUGGCGAACGGGUGAGUAAUAUAUCGGAACGUGCCCAGUCGUGGGGGAUAACGUAGCGAAAGUUACGCUAAUACCGCAUACGAUCUAAGGAUGAAAGCGGGGGAUCGCAAGACCUCGCGCGAUUGGAGCGGCCGAUAUCAGAUUAGGUAGUUGGUGGGGUAAAGGCUCACCAAGCCAACGAUCUGUAGCUGGUCUGAGAGGACGACCAGCCAAACUGGAACUGAGACACGGUCCAGACUCCUACGGGAGGCAGCAGUGGGGAAUUUUGGACAAUGGACGCAAGUCUGAUCCAGCCAUUCCGCGUGCAGGUUGAAGGCCCUCGGGUUGUAAACUGCUUUUGUACGGAACGAAAAGGUCUCUCUUAAUACGGGGGACUCAUGACGGUACCGUAAGAAUAAGCACCGGCUAACUACGUGCCAGCCGCCGCGGUAA